AUGCGAUACGUAAUGUGAAUUGCAAAUUCAGUGAAUCAUCGAGUCUUUGAACGCACAUUGCGCCCCCUGGUAUUCCGGGGGGCAUGCCUGUCCGAGCGUCAUUACUGCCCUCAAGCCCGGCUUGUGUGUUGGGCCCCGUCCUCCGAUCCCGGGGGACGGGCCCGAAAGGCAGCGGCGGCACCGCGUCCGGUCCUCGAGCGUAUGGGGCUUUGUCACCCGCUCUGUAGGCCCGGCCGGCGCUUGCCGAUCAACCCCAAUUUUUAUAGGUUGACCUCGGAUCAGGUAGGGAUACCCGCUGAACUUAA
RNAcentral lists this unclassified non-coding RNA (305 nucleotides) under uncultured Penicillium. Its description in RNAcentral is "partial contains 5.8S ribosomal RNA, internal transcribed spacer 2, and large subunit ribosomal RNA". The stretch from base 1 to 101 matches the Rfam family "5.8S ribosomal RNA", at positions 53 to 154 of the family's 154-position model. Lineage: Eukaryota; Fungi; Ascomycota; Eurotiomycetes; Eurotiales; Aspergillaceae. The record is from RNAcentral.